Pelobates cultripes (western spadefoot toad) is the source of this 304-nucleotide non-coding RNA. NCBI's taxonomy places the organism in Eukaryota, Metazoa, Chordata, Amphibia, Anura, Pelobatidae. The record is from the annotation of a GenBank genome assembly.
AAUAAAUAGACAUUAGUAAAUAGCCAUUUUAUUUUAAAUCUUUUGUCCAUAACAAUAUUUUUAAAGUAAAACUGGUGUUUUUAAGAAGGGCAAAUUAGAACCUAAGCAAAUAAAGGCAGUGAAUGAAAGCUAGACUUGAUGGGGUUUUGCAUUUUGUCAUUUGCAGGCUAUGGAAAAGUGCAAAGAUGCCGGGCUGGUGAAGUCUUUGGGUGUUUCCAACUUUAACCGAAGGCAACUGGAAUUAAUCCUCAACAUACCAGGACUUAAAUACAAACCUGUCUCUAAUCAGGUAGGCAAUUGUGAU